GACGAACGCUGGCGGCGUGCUUAACACAUGCAAGUCGAACGGAAAGGCCCUGCUUGCAGGGUACUCGAGUGGCGAACGGGUGAGUAACACGUGGGUGAUCUGCCCUGCACUUCGGGAUAAGCCUGGGAAACUGGGUCUAAUACCGGAUAGGAGCCAUUUUUAGUGUGAUGUUGGAAAGUUUUUUCGGUGUAGGAUGAGCUCGCGGCCUAUCAGCUUGUUGGUGGGGUAAUGGCCUACCAAGGCGGCGACGGGUAGCCGGCCUGAGAGGGUGGACGGCCACAUUGGGACUGAGAUACGGCCCAGACUCCUACGGGAGGCAGCGGUGGGGAAUAUUGCACAAUGGGCGCAAGCCUGAUGCAGCGACGCCGCGUGGGGGAUGACGGCCUUCGGGUUGUAAACUCCUUUCGCUAGGGACGAAGCUUUUUGUGACGGUACCUAGAUAAGAAGCACCGGCUAACUACGUG
This 464-nucleotide ribosomal RNA is filed under the name uncultured bacterium. RNAcentral describes it as "partial 16S ribosomal RNA". It matches the Rfam family "Bacterial small subunit ribosomal RNA", at positions 28 to 507 of the family's 1533-position model. The record is from RNAcentral.